UACGUAGGGGGCAAGCGUUGUCCGGAAUCAUUGGGCGUAAAGAGCGUGUAGGCGGCCCGAUAAGUCCGCCGUGAAAGUCCAGGGCUCAACCCUGGAAUGCCGGUGGAAACUGUCGGGCUGGAGUCCGGAAGAGGCGAGUGGAAUUCCUGGUGUAGCGGUGAAAUGCGCAGAUAUCAGGAGGAACACCAAUGGCGAAGGCAGCUCGCUGGGACGGUACUGACGCUGAGACGCGAAAGCCAGGGGAGCAAACGGG
This 253-nucleotide ribosomal RNA is filed under the name uncultured bacterium. Its description in RNAcentral is "partial 16S ribosomal RNA". It matches the Rfam family "Bacterial small subunit ribosomal RNA", at positions 524 to 776 of the family's 1533-position model. The record is from RNAcentral.